Molecule: ribosomal RNA, 450 nt
Filed under: uncultured bacterium
Lineage: Bacteria
Description: partial 16S ribosomal RNA
Rfam family: Bacterial small subunit ribosomal RNA
Source: RNAcentral
GUGGGGAAUAUUGGACAAUGGGCGCAAGCCUGAUCCAGCAAUGCCGCGUGGGUGAAGAAGGCCUUCGGGUUGUAAACUGCUUUUGUACGGAACGAAACGGUCCUGGCUAAUAUCCGGGGCUAAUGACGGUACCGUAAGAAUAAGCACCGGCUAACUACGUGCCAGCAGCCGCGGUAAUACGUAGGGUGCGAGCGUUAAUCGGAAUUACUGGGCGUAAAGCGUGCGCAGGCGGUGCUGUAAGACAGGCGUGAAAUCCCCGGGCUCAACCUGGGAAUUGCGCUUGUGACUGCAGUGCUGGAGUGCGGCAGAGGGGGAUGGAAUUCCGCGUGUAGCAGUGAAAUGCGUAGAUAUGCGGAGGAACACCGAUGGCGAAGGCAAUCCCCUGGGCCUGCACUGACGCUCAUGCACGAAAGCGUGGGGAGCAAACAGGAUUAGAUACCCCAGUAGUCC